RNAcentral lists this ribosomal RNA (230 nucleotides) under uncultured bacterium. Its description in RNAcentral is "partial 16S ribosomal RNA". It matches the Rfam family "Bacterial small subunit ribosomal RNA", at positions 577 to 793 of the family's 1533-position model. The record is from RNAcentral.
GGUUUAGUUAAGUCAGAUGUAGAAACGGCCCGGGGCUACCAACCGUACGGUAAUUGCUAUUUAGAAACGUGGACAAACUAGAGUACUGUAGGAGGGGGUAGAAUUUCAGGUGUAGCGGUGAAAUGCGUAGAGAUCUGAAGGAAUACCGGUGGCGAAGGCGGCCCCCUGGACAGAUACUGACACUCAGAUGCGAAAGCGUGGGGAGCAAACAGGAUUAGAUACCCUGGUAG